This 440-nucleotide ribosomal RNA is filed under the name uncultured bacterium. Its description in RNAcentral is "partial 16S ribosomal RNA". It matches the Rfam family "Bacterial small subunit ribosomal RNA", at positions 338 to 795 of the family's 1533-position model. The record is from RNAcentral.
CCUACGGGAGGCAGCAGUGGGGGAUAUUGCACAAUGGGGGAAACCCUGAUGCAGCGAUGCCGCGUGUGGGAAGACGGCCCUCUGGAUUGUAAACCACUGUCCCCAGGGACGAAGUUGACGGUACCUGGGGAGGAAGCUCCGGCUAACUACGUGCCAGCAGCCGCGGUAAUACGCAGGGAGCGAGCGUUGUCCGGAAUUACGGGGUGUAACGGGAGCGUAGGCGGGACUGCAAGUUGGGUGUCAAAUCUACCGGCUCAACCGGUAGCCGCACUCAAAACUGCAGUUCUUGAGUGAAGUAGAGGCAGGCGGAAUUCCUAGUGUAGCGGUGAAAUGCGUAGAUAUUAGGAGGAACACCAGUGGCGAAGGCGGCCUGCUGGGCUUUGACUGACGCUGAGGCUCGAAAGUGUGGGGAGCAAACAGGAUUAGAUACCCUUGUAGUC